This is a non-coding RNA of Pelobates cultripes (western spadefoot toad), 209 nucleotides long. The record is from the annotation of a GenBank genome assembly. Lineage: Eukaryota; Metazoa; Chordata; Amphibia; Anura; Pelobatidae.
GGAUAAUUCCAUGGUGUCCUGCCAACAAAUCCAGGAUGGCAGAACUGGUAUCCAAAAUCGUGAUUGCUUUUCCCCCACGUAGCUGAGGUUGUGAUGCCAGGCUCUUUAAAAGCUAAAAAUGGUAUCCUUUUCUCAGAUCCAAACCUAAUCUCAUUGUUUGUAUUAGAGAUCAGUCAGAUCAUGUGUAUUAUUUAACAUUUAAGUAGUUU